GUUUGACAGUCCAGCUGAUGAGGCCUCUCCCUUCAGUGAAACGGACCGCACUUCCCCCUCAUGUUUAUUUUUCUUCAUCCUUCACAAUAUCACCCAUGGGUUGUGAAUAUAUACCAGAUGUUUUAAUAGGUGUGAUACAGAGAAUUCUAUAAAAUAAACACUGCAAUAUUCGUUUUUUCAUGAAAAAUUCACCCAAGAUGUUAAACCCUUCGCAGAAUCAGAUAUGCCCAGUGUUUAAUCUUGCUUCAUUCCCUUCAUGCCCACAUCGUUCUGAAAAUUCUUCUUCUAACCCGUUUCUAUAACUAGUAAUCAAAUUUCUAGAAAGCCUAAUCCCUACCCAUGAGACUGAAUUUCACCCUGACCUUCAUCACGCUACAUCCAGCAGCACUGACUUCCACCAGUUUGUUUCAAUAUUCCUCUUUGCUACCUAUGAGCCACCUGCUUAGCCUUACAAAUCUCCCAUGGGAAAACAUUAAUUUUUCAGAAUCAGUAAAGCCUGUGUUGAUGAGAAGAAACAUAUAGUUUAAGCCGUGAUAAUUUGCAAGAUUGCCUCUCUCACCAUGGAAUUAGUGUCUCGCCUUAUUGGGCAGAGCACUAUCAAUUUCUUUUCUACAUUCUCCCUUUCAAUUCUGCCUCCUUAUUGUACAUAAAAAUAAGCAAUAGGCUUAAGAGUGAGUCACACACUUUUCAAUUGCCUCCUACUGGAUGCUUUAACAUUUUGAUGAAAUCCUCAGGCCAGCAGUUCAGUAACAGAAGUCAGCAUGCAUUAGAAAAAAAACCAAUAUUUUAUUUAAACAACAUUCCUUGAAUUUUCCUCUUACGAAUAGAAAAAAAAAGCUGGAUCAAAGAUAAUCUAAGAUAAUUCUCACCAUAUGAACACAAAGAGAUGCAAUAUCAUUAUGAUAAUUGAGGUGAAUUUUUCUCUAUAUAGCUUAGCUUUAUUCCAAAAAAGGAAUCCUGCCUUAUGCAGAAAAUCUUCUUAAUUUUUAUUCAUGUACAGAAAUUGAAAAAUGUUUAAUUUUGAGUAAGCUUUCUUCUAAAAAAUGUUUAGAUUCAGUGUUCUGACGUAAGGGAGAUUAUGAUUUUUAGUGGAUGUUUUUGCAGUGAUAUAGGUUCUCUUCCAAGGCUUCUUCCGUAGAAAUCAGAAAAGGACCAAAAAUUGUUUACUUUGCAGGCAAAUCCAAUGAUAAAUAGCAAUUUAAUAUCUGCUAUGCGCAUAAGCUAUAUUUACUUUAAAAGCAUGGGUACUAGCAAAUUUUCAUACUAAGAUACAGGGUUUAGGAAUGAAGUUAAAGACACAGUACUAUUUAAUGCGAAGUUUUUUUGAAAGCUGCUAAGAAAAGAAUAUUCAAAAUUCCUUUAGAAGUUCAUCAUCUUCUCAUUUAUUUUCAUGAAUAAAGUUUGUUCUUUAAAUAUUUUAUGUGAAGCUUGUUUCACACUUUCAUUUCUCAGGCUAGAAAUCAAGGAGUUCAAGGAGAUGGUCACACACAAGUUCGGUCUCUGAAUCACAGAAUCGCAGAGAGCUCUCGGUCUGAGCUUCUGUCCAUGGCCACAAAGAGUUGCAGACUGCAGGUUGAGCAAUGCAGGUUGAGAAAGCAAAGAGGUGAGCAAGGCAGGUUGAGAAAGCUCCAUGCACACUGUCUGCAGAGAUAAUUUUUGGUAUGUCAAUUUCAUUGCAGAUAUAAGAUAUGGAAAUAAUGGAAAAGAGAGAGAAAGAGAGAGAGAGACUAAGAGAGAGACAGAGAGAGAGACCGGCAUAGGGCUUAGUAUAUGCUUGCAUAGGUCACAGUUUGACUUCAGGAAUGUGAUGGGAAUGACAGCCAUAACUUCGUUGGCACAGGAUUAGGGUAGCUGCCUAAUAUAGCAUCAGGAGAUUGACAUGUAGCUAGCAGCCUCUCCAGGGCCCUGUGGUGAGCAGUAUAUACAGUUUGUGUGUAAUGGUGUGCAUACCUUGCAGUGGAUAUCCAAUGGCAAUAAAAGGGUGGCACUGUGUCAGUGAAUGCAAGAAGAUCUCGGGGCAGUAC
This 2024-nucleotide long non-coding RNA is filed under the name Homo sapiens (human). RNAcentral's name for it is "long non-coding RNA NONHSAT159801.1". The record is from RNAcentral. Lineage: Eukaryota; Metazoa; Chordata; Mammalia; Primates; Hominidae.